RNAcentral lists this ribosomal RNA (304 nucleotides) under uncultured bacterium. Its description in RNAcentral is "bacterial SSU rRNA". It matches the Rfam family "Bacterial small subunit ribosomal RNA", at positions 29 to 325 of the family's 1533-position model. The record is from RNAcentral.
AAUGAACGCUGGCGGCGCGCCUAAUACAUGCAAGUCGAGCGAGAAGACGUAGCAAUACGUUUGUAAAGCGGCGAACGGGUGAGGAAUACAUGGGUAACCUAUCCUCGAGUGGGGAAUAACUAGCCGAAAGGUUAGCUAAUACCGCGUACGCUCCUUGGACUUCGGUUCAGGGAGGAAAGCGAUACCGUGGGUAUCGCGCUCUUGGUUGGGCUCAUGUCCUAUCAGCUUGUUGGGAGGUACGGCUCACCAAGGCUUCGACGGGUAGCUGGUCUGAGAGGACGAUCAGCCACACUGGCACUGCGAC